UAUACUCUAUUUCUCAAUAUCACUCUCGGCUUACGUCUCUUGGAUGAGAUGAUGAAACCCCUCUCAAAUCCUCUUAUUUACAUGAAAAUAAUAUCAAUUAUUCAAGAGAGAUGGUGGAUAAUCAAUUCUUAGAUUUACAAGAAUCCUUGUAACUCUCAUCUUCACAUUUUUCUAAGUUGAAUGUAUAGUCCCAAGAUUCAAGAAAGAAAUUCCAAGACUUUGACCAGUCCAUCCUCAUUUUCCAUUUAGUGGAAGUAUUUUGAUGAAGUGGCCAAAGUGAACCAUAAAUUUUAGAGGGAAUAUCAACAAUGCAAUAGGAGAUUGGUUGAAAAGUAUGUUGAAUUUCGAGAUUAGUCCAAAUGUAAUCGAGAUAUCGACAAUCACAAGUUGUUGUGACAAAAUCAUGGUAUGUAGUUUUAAUGAUUAUACAAUUACAAUCACUUUUUCUCAUAGAGCACCAAGAGAUGAGGGACUCACCAAACAGAAGCAAUGAUCACUAUUAAUGCAUUGAAAAUUAGAGAAACCACUGGUGGUAACAUUAGUGAAGCUCAAGAAAUGGAGAAAAGAUUUGUUAGAAAAGAAAAACUACUUUCUUGAAUCAACUUGACUUUGAAUAGGAUGAAGACGUUGUAGAAGGAGUAAAAGAAGAAGAUAGGAGAAAAAAAAUAAUGAAAAUGGAGAAAUAUGAAUUUUGACUAGAUAAUAUUUAGAUCUUGUUUUAUUUUUGUAUGUAAA
This 735-nucleotide long non-coding RNA is filed under the name Cicer arietinum (chickpea). RNAcentral describes it as "long non-coding RNA (CARI_LNC002018)". The record is from RNAcentral. Lineage: Eukaryota; Viridiplantae; Streptophyta; Magnoliopsida; Fabales; Fabaceae.